UGGGGAAUUUUGGACAAUGGGCGCAAGCCUGAUCCAGCCAUGCCGCGUGCGGGAAGAAGGCCUUCGGGUUGUAAACCGCUUUGUCAGGGAAGAAAUCUUCUGAGUUAAUACCUCGGGAGGAUGACGGUACCUGAAGAAUAAGCACCGGCUAACUACGUGCCAGCAGCCGCGGUAAUACGUAGGGUGCAAGCGUUAAUCGGAAUUACUGGGCGUAAAGCGUGCGCAGGCGGUUUUGUAAGACAGAGGUGAAAUCCCCGGGCUCAACCCUGGGGAACUGCCUUUGUGACUGCAAGGCUUGAGUGCGGCAGAGGGGGGAUGGAAUUCCGCGUGUAGCAGUGAAAUGCGUAGAUAUGCGGAGGAACACCGAUGGCGAAGGCAAUCCCCUGGGCCUGCACUGACGCUCAUGCACGAAAGCGUGGGGAGCAAACAGGAUUAGAUAGCCCUGGUAGUCCACGCCCUAAACGAUGUCAACUGGUUGUUGGGAAGGUUCCUUCUCAGUAACGUAGCUAACGCGUGAAGUUGACCGCCUGGGGAGU
Molecule: ribosomal RNA, 536 nt
Filed under: uncultured bacterium
Lineage: Bacteria
Description: partial 16S ribosomal RNA
Rfam family: Bacterial small subunit ribosomal RNA
Source: RNAcentral